CUAGACAGUGGAAAAUCAAAUGGGGCUAGCAAACCUUUCAAACAGCAAGUUAAGUAUGCUGACCAUCCUGACAAGAUAGUGUAAAUUAGACAUUGUUGCAAGAGUCUUUGGAGCUGAAAAAAUUAUACAUCUAAGAGGGGAAAGAAGGGAAAAUGAGGGGAGAACGAACUUAAAUCCAAAAGCCAAAGACUUUUGUCCAAGAAAUGCUAUAUCAUUCAAAGGUACCAGUCCUGGGGAUGUGUUUAGCAUAGAUCAAUAUCAAACUUCCAAUGACUUGCUAUUCCAUGAACCAGAGACUGCAAAACAAUUUAAGAGAGUGGGAACAGAAGAGUCUUUUAUAGUGAAACUGCAUUCAAGCAGUUCUCAAACUGAAAUUAAUACAAACACAAACCUUUCCUCUGUGCAACCUGUUAGCUCACAGACAGCAGUGGUCCAAAGUGAUACAAGUAUAUUACAAGCCCCGGGGCAAGAAAAUAAAGAUGAUAAUGGGAAACCUGUGCAUGCAAACAACACAAUAUCUAGUUUGCAAUAUGAUGCAGAGAUACAAGAACCCUAUGUAUGGAUCAAUGUGGGAGAUCAAAAUUACAAGACUCCAUUAAAGUCACUCCCACAGGACACCACGAUAGAUGGUAUGGUUUCAGUGGCAGGUGCUACUGGACAGAUAGAACAAAUCCCACAAUUGAAAUCUAAGAUGGUAAUGUUAGGUCCACUGUCCAUUGAUCAUACAUUCCAUACAUACCUAAUACCAGGGUGUCCAGACAAUCUUUUGGGAUGUGAUAAUCUUUGUAAAAUUGGGGUAACUUUACAAUGUGAACAAUCAGGAAAUAUUUACCUCCAUUUACCAAAACAAUCCCUGAAACAUUAUCCUCUAUUAUUUUUGGAGCAGCUUGAUGAGACCACUGAUCAGCAGCAGGUUAUUAUCUCUAUUUAUGACAUUCCUACAGACAUUCCACAGGGUGUAUGGGCAGCACAUAAGAUUGAUGUGGGAAUGAUUAAAUCAGUACAACCAGUAAAGAUAGAAGUCAAAGACUGAAUAUAUACCUCCCCCCUCCCAAAACCUAUAUACGAAUUUCAAUCUCAAGCCUAGACUAAAAUAUUAUUAACCUCAACAAUCAAC
Molecule: long non-coding RNA, 1117 nt
Filed under: Monodelphis domestica (gray short-tailed opossum)
Lineage: Eukaryota; Metazoa; Chordata; Mammalia; Didelphimorphia; Didelphidae
Description: lncRNA (ENSMODG00000038650.1)
Source: RNAcentral